This 547-nucleotide ribosomal RNA is filed under the name uncultured bacterium. Its description in RNAcentral is "partial 16S ribosomal RNA". It matches the Rfam family "Bacterial small subunit ribosomal RNA", at positions 355 to 891 of the family's 1533-position model. The record is from RNAcentral.
UGGGGAAUAUUGCACAAUGGGCGCAAGCCUGAUGCAGCCAUGCCGCGUGUGUGAAGAAGGCCUUCGGGUUGUAAAGCACUUUCAGCGAGGAGGGAGGUGGUGAGCUUAAUACGCUCAUCAAUUGACGUUACUCGCAGAAGAAGCACCGGCUAACUCCGUGCCAGCAGCCGCGGUAAUACGGAGGGUGCAAGCGUUAAUCGGAAUUACUGGGCGUAAAGCGCACGCAGGCGGUUUGUUAAGUCAGAUGUGAAAUCCCCGGGCUCAACCUGGGAACUGCAUUUGAAACUGGCAAGCUAGAGUCUCGUAGAGGGGGGUAGAAUUCCAGGUGUAGCGGUGAAAUGCGUAGAGAUCUGGAGGAAUACCGGUGGCGAAGGCGGCCCCCUGGACGAAGACUGACGCUCAGGUGCGAAAGCGUGGGGCAGCAAACAGGAUUAGAUACCCUGGUAGUCCACGCUGUAAAACGAUGUCGAUUUUGGAGGUUGUGCCCUUGAGGCGUGGCUUCCGGAGCUAACGCGUUAAAUCGACCGCCUGGGGAGUACGGCCGCAA